UGGGGAAUCUUGCGCAAUGGGCGAAAGCCUGACGCAGCAACGCCGCGUGCGGGAUGAAGGCCUUCGGGUUGUAAACCGCUUUCAGUGGGGACGAACCAAGACGGUACCCACAGAAGAAGCCCCGGCCAACUACGUGCCAGCAGCCGCGGUAACACGUAGGGGGCAAGCGUUGUCCGGAUUCAUUGGGCGUAAAGAGCUCGUAGGCGGUUCGAUAAGUCGGGUGUGAAACCUCCAGGCUCAACCUGGAGACGCCACCCGAUACUGUCGUGACUAGAGUCCAGUAGGGGAGCGUGGAAUUCCUGGUGUAGCGGUGAAAUGCGCAGAUAUCAGGAGGAACACCAGCGGCGAAGGCGGCGCUCUGGGCUGGAACUGACGCUGAGGAGCGAAAGCGUGGGGAGCGAACAGGAUUAGAUACCCUUGUAGUCCCUGAG
RNAcentral lists this ribosomal RNA (431 nucleotides) under uncultured bacterium. Its description in RNAcentral is "bacterial SSU rRNA". It matches the Rfam family "Bacterial small subunit ribosomal RNA", at positions 355 to 801 of the family's 1533-position model. The record is from RNAcentral.